Molecule: long non-coding RNA, 1691 nt
Organism: Chenopodium quinoa (quinoa)
Lineage: Eukaryota; Viridiplantae; Streptophyta; Magnoliopsida; Caryophyllales; Amaranthaceae
Exons: 4
Source: RefSeq, a predicted model, not a curated record
UGUUUUUUACCACCCCACAUACGCUACGCUUAAAAUAAAAACCGUAACAAUAUUAAAGUAAUAUUAAAACUAGUUCAAGAAAACAAUAAUAAUUAAUAAGAGUACAGUUAAUAUAAAAAUUGUAGUCUAAAAUGAAAAUGCUACGGUUUUUAUAACCGUAACAUUUUAAACAUAGUAUGUCCGCCCAAUUAUAUUAAACAUAGUAUGUCCGCCCAAUUAAAAAUAUAGGAACAAAACCCUUGUUUAGAUUUGGAAGAGUGGAAGAACAGCCUCCUUUCAUUCUCCUUCGCUCUCCUCAACACUCAUCAACUCACACUAAGUUCCCGACCACUCAACAGCGCCGCCGAUUCGGGUUUCCGGCCAACACGCUUCCCACUCCUUCGUUUCCUCUUGCGUGGUCCCUCUUUCCCGCUCGAUUUCCCGUUGAAGCGCUGUUCACAAUACUCUCCAUUCGUGCGGCUUCUGAAAUCCUCUAUCCUCCAAUGAAGCAGAUUCUGAGGCAAUACCUCACUCUCUCUCACAAUCGCUUUUUACAGUAAAAAGGAACUUUGCUUCCUGAUGGUUCCCCCGUAUUCCCGGUGGUUGAAAUUUGUUGUAUUCAUCUUCAGUGGUGUUCAUGUGUGUCCAGUUUGCGCCGUUUGUUCGGUGAAGGAAUCCUUGUACUUGAAGCUUUGGGAUUAGGAAACUGGGUAAAAGGUUAAGAAUGGGCUGCUAUUCCAGGAGAUCAAGCAACCUACUUAGCCGACUGUGUUCUAUGGGGAAACCCCUUCCUACACUUUUGGCAAUUGAGUUUUUAACUACCAAAUUCGUAGAGCACUUAAGGAGAAUAGAGAAAGAUACAUAGAAGGAGGACCCUGGUGGAUCAUUCGGUCUGUUGGAUACUCUAAGGACCCAGAGAAGUUCGAGAGAGUUGGAGGUCAAAAAGAUUAAUACUGCACAGACCUUGCUGCAGUAUUGUUCAGGUAAUAGGGAACUGGCAACUGCUGAAUGUGCGGAAUUCCAGUGCAUUAAUUACUUUCCACACUGGCUGGGUCACUGAUUCCGAGCCUAGUCAAAUGUUUACUCUUUAAAUUGGACAGCUUGUUAACUUGUGAAAAUAGCAAGUUCCCUUCUAACUAUCGUUCUAUUAGGCUUAUUAUGCCUGCUUUCCUUGCAUCUGAACACUAAAGCUAUAUUUAUGUCUUAAAGGUAAAUUCACUAGUGUCAAUGAAGUUUUAUAUCAUGCGUUUUUUCUCUAAAGCAUCAUAUUGCAGGUUAUGACUCCUAUCUCACUGCUCAACUUGCUGGGCAAUAUGUUGCAGUUGAUUCAUCAUGACAUUGAUGCUGCUUCUGUCUUUGAUGCUGCUACUACUUCUGUGCUGCUACUGUUCUGCCUAUGUGGUGCCCUAAGUCGGUUUUGAACGACCAUUGCCUAUUUGCCUUUUUCUACUACUGAGAUGAUCGAGCAUGCUUGUGUCCAAAGCCGAUGUUGUUGCGGUUUUCAUUUGUUAAAUAGGCUGCUAGCCUUAUUUGUAAUGUCUUCUUAUUUGUAAAAAGUAUACAUUGUAUAACUAAGAUAAAUUCUAUGAAAAAAAAAUGUUUUUUAUGUAUAUGUUAUACACUUAUCAUUAAUUAAGCUUUAAAAAUGCAAAAAAAUAUAUUUAUUUUUUUUAAAAAAAAAAUUUGGACCACUUAAUGCUACGGUUUAGAAA